GACGAACGCUGGCGGCGUGCUUAACACAUGCAAGUCGAACGGGAUUUAGUAAACAGAAGCCUCGGUGGAAGAUUACUAAUGAGAGUGGCGAACGGGUGAGUAACGCGUGAGCAACCUGCCUAUGACAGUGGGAUAGCCUCGGGAAACCGGGAUUAAUACCGCAUAAAAUCGUAGAAACACAUGUUUUAACGGUCAAAGAUUUAUCGGUCAUAGAUGGGCUCGCGCCUGAUUAGCUAGUUGGUGAGAUAACAGCCCACCAAGGCGACGAUCAGUAGCCGGUCUGAGAGGAUGAACGGCCACAUUGGAACUGAGACACGGUCCAAACUCCUACGGGAGGCAGCAGUGGGGAAUAUUGCACAAUGGGGGAAACCCUGAUGCAGCGACGCCGCGUGAACGAAGAAGGUAUUCGUAUCGUAAAGUUCUGUCCUAUGGGAAGAUAAUGACAGUACCAUAGAAGAAAGCUCCGGCUAAAUACGUG
Molecule: ribosomal RNA, 478 nt
Filed under: uncultured bacterium
Lineage: Bacteria
Description: partial 16S ribosomal RNA
Rfam family: Bacterial small subunit ribosomal RNA
Source: RNAcentral